GGUAGCGACUCGCUUAGCGACUGCCAUGCUUGAUAUAAAGGUCCUUACAAAGCUAGCCUCUUUGAAUUUAUUCAUCUCUUUGUCUAAAGAAAAUCUUCAGUCGUUCUUAUUUCCUCAGAAUAGAAGUAAGAAGAGUUCUGAAGACGUUAUUCACAAUAAUGGAGCUAACAAUGUACAAUUGGCAUUGAAUCCUGCCACGAAAGAAAUUGUAUAUCACCUGAGUGUGAUGAAUCUGGAGCAGAAGCUGGCUCUUAUUGUUAGUGACCGUUCCAACAAAAUUAAACCAUUAUCUGGAUCAUAUUAUGUCAAUGAUACUAUUUUGCAGGCUACAAAAUUAACUGUAAUAAGAGAAAAGACAAUUCCAAAAACUGUGAAUGUAAUUUCAGCUGAAACUGGAUUUAAAGAACAGGCUGAAAUGAUAAAAUUGUAAAGCAGGAAGGCCAGAUCAAGAACUCAAACUCAAUGUUUUGUACAGAUAAAAGCAAGGGAAUCCUGAUCGGUGAUGACGUAUACUGCACAUCAAAGUUAUACAAGACUGCAGAGGCGUCAAACUCUGCUACUAAAGCAGUCAGAUGUCUAUUGGAGGGUUUAUAUUGGACUCACUUCUUCAGUGUACUGUGUCUGGUCUUCUGCCAAGACGCAAGAGUCGCCAAGCCUAUGCAGACCCAAGUUCUAUUAAAAAAUUUCUAGAUUUCCCUGCUGGAGAUGCAAUUAUUGAUAAGGCUCUCGAAUGGCAGAAAUUCAAACAUUGGCGUCUUAAAAAGGAUUCUACUCACAGAGUGGUAUGGCAGUGCGUCUCUGCGAAAUCAGGGAAAGAGAGCAAAAGCGCCAGUCUAAUGAAUCCAGAGUAUAAUAUCUCUUACAAAUAUCAUGACAAAAAGUUGUUUAGCGAUUCUUCCAUGCAGUAUCGAUCUUUAGUUUGAUGAAAUAUAUUAAUAACUUCUUCAUUUUUAUUUUCUUUUGAGCUAGCAAAUUGUAUUCUAAGUUUUUAUGAUUAUGAUAAAUAUUUU
Molecule: long non-coding RNA, 1010 nt
Organism: Camponotus floridanus (Florida carpenter ant)
Lineage: Eukaryota; Metazoa; Arthropoda; Insecta; Hymenoptera; Formicidae
Exons: 4
Source: RefSeq, a predicted model, not a curated record